This 662-nucleotide ribosomal RNA is filed under the name Peponium vogelii. Its description in RNAcentral is "eukaryotic LSU rRNA". The stretch from base 225 to 380 matches the Rfam family "5.8S ribosomal RNA". The record is from RNAcentral. Lineage: Eukaryota; Viridiplantae; Streptophyta; Magnoliopsida; Cucurbitales; Cucurbitaceae.
AUUGNNAUGCCUAAACAUCANACGACCCGCGAACGCGUUUACAAACAAAUGUCCGCGUCGGGGGGCGGGGGGGAGCAUGCAAUUGCCUGCUCCCCUCCCCCUUUCGCGCGCCUAAACCAAACCCCGGCGCAGGUCGCGCCAAGGAACUUGAAAUGAAUUCGCCUGCCCCCUGCCCCGGCCUCGGCGUGCGGGGGGCGGAGCAUUCUUGUCGUAUUACUCACAACGACUCUCGGCAACGGAUAUCUCGGCUCUCGCAUCGAUGAAGAACGUAGCGAAAUGCGAUACUUGGUGUGAAUUGCAGGAUCCCGCGAACCACCGAGUCUUUGAACGCAAGUUGCGCCCGGAGCCUUCUGGCCGAGGGCACGUCUGCCUGGGCGUCACGCAUCGCUGCCCCCCCACGCAACACCCUAUAUGGGCUCGUUGCGCAGGCGGGGGCACACGCUGGCCUCCCGUGCGCACCGUCGCGCGGAUGGCUUAAAUUCGAGUCCUCGGCGCCUGUCGUCGCGACACUACGGUGGUUGAUCCAACCUCGGUACCACGUCGCGAAUUUGACGUCGCCAACUUCUGGGCUCACAACGACCCUCCGAACGCCGUCCCCCAAAGGACGACGCUCUCGACGCGACCCCAGGUCAGGCGGGACUACCCGCUGAGUUUAAGCAUAU